GAUGAACGCUGGCGGCGUGCCUAAUACAUGCAAGUCGAGCGAACAGACGAGGAGCUUGCUCCUCUGACGUUCGCGGCGGACGGGUGAGUAACACGUGGAUAACCUACCUAUAAGACUGGGAUAACUUCGGGAAACCGGAGCUAAUACCGGAUAAUAUAUUGAACCGCAUGGUUCAAUAGUGAAAGACGGUUUUGCUGUCACUUAUAGAUGGAUCCGCGCCGCAUUAGCUAGUUGGUAAGGUAACGGCUUACCAAGGCAACGAUGCGUAGCCGACCUGAGAGGGUGAUCGGCCACACUGGAACUGAGACACGGUCCAGACUCCUACGGGAGGCAGCAGUAGGGAAUCUUCCGCAAUGGGCGAAAGCUUGACGGAGCAACGCCGCGUGAGUGAUGAAGGUCUUCGGAUCGUAAAACUCUGUUAUUAGGGAAGAACAAAUGUGUAAGUAACUAUGCACGUCUUGACGGUACCCAAUCAGAAAGCCACGGCUAACUACGUG
This 497-nucleotide ribosomal RNA is filed under the name uncultured bacterium. RNAcentral's name for it is "partial 16S ribosomal RNA". It matches the Rfam family "Bacterial small subunit ribosomal RNA", at positions 28 to 507 of the family's 1533-position model. The record is from RNAcentral.